This 766-nucleotide ribosomal RNA is filed under the name uncultured Russula. RNAcentral's name for it is "partial 28S ribosomal RNA". It matches the Rfam family "Eukaryotic large subunit ribosomal RNA", at positions 216 to 962 of the family's 3401-position model. The record is from RNAcentral. Lineage: Eukaryota; Fungi; Basidiomycota; Agaricomycetes; Russulales; Russulaceae.
GAAUCCCGUCUUUGGCAUGGAUGACCGGGGCUUUUGUGAUGCGCUCUCGAAGAGUCGAGUUGUUUGGGAAUGCAGCUCAAAAUGGGUGGUGAACUCCAUCUAAAGCUAAAUAUUGGCGAGAGACCGAUAGCGAACAAGUACCGUGAGGGAAAGAUGAAAAGCACUUUGGAAAGAGAGUGAAACAGUACGUGAAAUUGUUGAAAGGGAAACGCUUGAAGUCAGUCGCGUCGGCCGAGACUCAGCCUUGCCUCGGCUUGGUGUACUUCUUGACCGACGGGUCAGCAUCAAUUUUGCCCCUUGGAUAAUGGCGAGGGAAAUGUGACACCUUUAUAGGUGUGUUAUAGUCUCUCGUCGCAUGCAAGGGUCGGGAUUGAGGAACUCAGCACGCGCCUUCGGGCGUCGGGGCCUUGCCCACGAUACGUGCUUAGGAUGUUGGCGUAAUGGCUUUAAACGACCCGUCUUGAAACACGGACCAAGGAGUCUAACAUGCCCGCGAGUGUUCGGGUGGAAAACCCGUGCGCGCAAUGAAAGUGAAAGUUGAGAUCCCUGUCGUGGGGAGCAUCGACGCCCGGACCAGACCUUUUGUGACGGAUCCGCGGUAGAGCAUGUAUGUUGGGACCCGAAAGAUGGUGAACUAUGCCUGAAUAGGGUGAAGCCAGAGGAAACUCUGGUGGAGGCUCGUAGCGAUUCUGACGUGCAAAUCGAUCGUCAAAUUUGGAUAUAGGGGCGAAAGACUAAUCGAACCAUCUAGUAGCUGGUUCCUGCC